Molecule: ribosomal RNA, 253 nt
Filed under: uncultured bacterium
Lineage: Bacteria
Description: partial 16S ribosomal RNA
Rfam family: Bacterial small subunit ribosomal RNA
Source: RNAcentral
UACGUAGGGGGCAAGCGUUGUCCGGAUUUAUUGGGCGUAAAGAGCGUGUAGGCGGUUAGGUAGGUCCGUUGUGAAAACUCGAGGCUUAACCUCGAGACGUCGGUGGAAACUGCCUGGCUAGAGUCCGGAAGAGGAGAGUGGAAUUCCUGGUGUAGCGGUGAAAUGCGCAGAUAUCAGGAAGAACACCCGUGGCUAAGGCGGCUCUCUAGUACGGUACUGACGCUGAGACGCGAAAGCGUGGGGAGCGAACAGG